This 503-nucleotide long non-coding RNA is filed under the name Junco hyemalis (dark-eyed junco). Its description in RNAcentral is "lncRNA (ENSJHYG00000011219.1)". Lineage: Eukaryota; Metazoa; Chordata; Aves; Passeriformes; Passerellidae. The record is from RNAcentral.
UGACAACUGCUCUGCAAAGCAAGUUUGGUCCCACCAGGUCUAGUUUGAGUGUUUGCACACAGCUUCACUUUGAAGUUUCCUCUUGAGCCUCCCACACUCCUCAUGAAAAUGAACUACAAGCAAUAAGUCUUCACUUCCUUUUGAACUUGAGAAGAUGUCAUUGCAUCUUACUACCCAGCUGAUGCUGUACUCCAGCGGCACAUUGACUUGAAAGUUAAUCAUAGUUCUGGCCCCAGAUGGUUACAGUGAGUCUACUUCUCUGUCUGUGGGAGUCCUAAAGGAUACUUGAUAGCUGUCCAACAUCUCCUGUGAUCAAGACUCAGUCCCUGUGGUGCCCAGCUGCUCAUUUUUGCCCAGACAUUCUUCAGGUCUCCAUCAUUUGUCUCAAAUUCCAUGGGAAAGGGACUGGGGGAGGUCACUCCCAUGCUUCACAUAUGAGGUACAAAUUAAAUUACUUUUUACCUGUCCUACUUAAUAUAAAUCAAAUAUUUCCUUUUUGUAGA